GAGUCAGUGGAGGAUUGUUCUAAGAAGGGAGCCCUAGAGCAAAAGAGGCUGAAAGCAGACAGGCUGGACUGAAUGGGUAUCUCUGCAGUGUUCCUCAGUGGCCAGCAGAGGAAAUUCUAGGGUCCACAGGAUGAGAAAUAGGGAAGAGAAAAAAGAUGAUGGAGCUUGUGGAUUCAGUGGUUAGACGCACAGGUAUCCUAUCAAAUGAUGUGAUGGCAGAAGAGGCCCUGGUCAUCAGUUAAGAACUAUAUCAAAAUCACAGGUGCAACGCAGAGGGCCGCUGAGUCCAAAAUGUUAACAGCCUCACAGCCCAGAGUGGAGAAACCUGCUAGCUGCAGUCUGUCAGCCUAGAGCAGGCUGAUGCCUGAUCCCUCUCAGCCAGUUCCCAGGCAUCUGGGUCGCCUAUACAAGUCUUAAUCAAGUCAUCAUAUCUAGCCAGUGUCUCCUGGAUCCCGUCACUUCUGAAUGAGAAAAAAAAUUGCGGACAAAUUUCUAUCAGCAGGAAGUUGGUGCUCUCCUGCGAGGCUGGAUGAAAAGCCCCUGUGACGUCAGCAGUCUCCUGCCUUCCCACGCCUGCUGCGAGCUCUGAAGCUGCGGGCUUCUCUGUUUAUGCCCCUAGCAGACCACCUGCCCCUCUGAGUCCCGUUCAGGCCCCACAACUGCUUGGGCUGCUCGGGAUGAGCCCAAAGCGUCCUAAUUACGGACAUUGCUAGCUUGUUCUGGUCAAAUAAGAAGGGUCUGCCCCACAUCAAGAAACUCACCGGCACCAGCGAACCCUGGCCUCGCCAUUGUCCCCGCAGUAAGGAGCAUUUGAUUGAGAGCCAGGACAGUUUGCUGGAACUUAUAAAAGCCCGGUUUGAAGGAAGGGGCUGCCUGGCCUCCCUCUACACGACUGAUACUUUCCAAUUUGUAGUAAAGAUUGUGAGAGAUAAACC
Molecule: long non-coding RNA, 935 nt
Filed under: Mus spretus (western wild mouse)
Lineage: Eukaryota; Metazoa; Chordata; Mammalia; Rodentia; Muridae
Description: lncRNA (ENSMSPG00010018620.1)
Source: RNAcentral